UACGUAGGUGGCAAGCGUUGUCCGGAUUUACUGGGCGUAAAGCGCGCGCAGGCGGAAGGUUAAGUAGGAAGUGAAAGGUUGGAGCUCAACUCCAACACUGCUCCCUAUACUGGCCCUCUUGAGUCCCGGAGAGGAAAGCGGAACGACACGUGGAGCGGUGAAAUGCGUUGAUAUGUGUCGGAACACCAAUGGCGAAGGCAGCUUUCUGGACGGGAACUGACGCUCAGGCGCGAAAGCCGAGGUAGCGAACAGG
Molecule: ribosomal RNA, 253 nt
Filed under: uncultured bacterium
Lineage: Bacteria
Description: partial 16S ribosomal RNA
Rfam family: Bacterial small subunit ribosomal RNA
Source: RNAcentral